Molecule: ribosomal RNA, 117 nt
Filed under: Acidobacteriota bacterium
Lineage: Bacteria; Pseudomonadati; Acidobacteriota
Source: RNAcentral
CCCGGUGACUGUAGCGGGGAGGAUACACCCGUUCCCAUUUCGAACACGGAAGUUAAGUUCCCCAGCGCCGAUGGUACUGCCUGGGCAACUGGGUGGGAGAGUAGGUCGUCGCCGGGU